GGUUGCAUAGUGGAGCAGUUAGCACGUCUGCUUUACAUGUAGAAGGUCCUGGGUUCAUGCCCCAGUGGAGCCA
Molecule: transfer RNA, 73 nt
Filed under: Pteropus alecto (black flying fox)
Lineage: Eukaryota; Metazoa; Chordata; Mammalia; Chiroptera; Pteropodidae
Rfam family: tRNA
About the family: Transfer RNA (tRNA) molecules are approximately 80 nucleotides in length. Their secondary structure includes four short double-helical elements and three loops (D, anti-codon, and T loops). Further hydrogen bonds mediate the characteristic L-shaped molecular structure. tRNAs have two regions of fundamental functional importance: the anti-codon, which is responsible for specific mRNA codon recognition, and the 3' end, to which the tRNAs corresponding amino acid is attached (by aminoacyl-tRNA synthetases). tRNAs cope with the degeneracy of the genetic code in two manners: having more than one tRNA (with a specific anti-codon) for a particular amino acid; and 'wobble' base-pairing, i.e. permitting non-standard base-pairing at the 3rd anti-codon position.
Source: Rfam by way of RNAcentral